This 273-nucleotide ribosomal RNA is filed under the name uncultured bacterium. RNAcentral describes it as "partial 16S ribosomal RNA". It matches the Rfam family "Bacterial small subunit ribosomal RNA", at positions 523 to 796 of the family's 1533-position model. The record is from RNAcentral.
AUACGGAGGGUGCAAGCGUUACUCGGAAUCACUGGGCGUAAAGCGCGCGCAGGCGGCUAUUUAAGUUGGAUGUGAAAGCCUAUGGCUCAACCAUAGAACUGCAUCCAAAACUAUUUAGCUAGAGUGUGGGAGAGGAAGAUGGAAUUAGUUGUGUAGGGGUAAAAUCCGUAGAGAUAACUAGGAAUACCAAAAGCGAAGGCAAUCUUCUGGAACACUACUACGCUGAGGCGCGAAAGCGUGGGGAGCAAACAGGAUUAGAAACCCCAGUAGUCC